RNAcentral lists this transfer RNA (74 nucleotides) under candidate division TM6 bacterium GW2011_GWF2_28_16. RNAcentral's name for it is "tRNA-Pro". It matches the Rfam family "tRNA". Rfam says of the family: Transfer RNA (tRNA) molecules are approximately 80 nucleotides in length. Their secondary structure includes four short double-helical elements and three loops (D, anti-codon, and T loops). Further hydrogen bonds mediate the characteristic L-shaped molecular structure. tRNAs have two regions of fundamental functional importance: the anti-codon, which is responsible for specific mRNA codon recognition, and the 3' end, to which the tRNAs corresponding amino acid is attached (by aminoacyl-tRNA synthetases). tRNAs cope with the degeneracy of the genetic code in two manners: having more than one tRNA (with a specific anti-codon) for a particular amino acid; and 'wobble' base-pairing, i.e. permitting non-standard base-pairing at the 3rd anti-codon position. RNAcentral also lists the same sequence under 1 other name. The record is from RNAcentral.
CGGAGUGUAGCUCAGAUGGCUAGAGUGCGGCGUUCGGAACGCCGAGGUCGCAGGUUCAAGUCCUGUCACUCCGA